CCUCAUUUGCCUCCUUUCGGAUUCAACCCGUCUCUAAAAUCCAUCUAUAUAUUGAAGUUUCAGAUUUCUUAUCCCUUUGCAUAUUCCAUCAUCAUUCUGUCCAUUUACAUUGUCCAUCAUCCUCAUCCAGUUUUAGAUCACAGCCUUAAUAACAUCCAUAAGUGCAUCACUCACGCGUGUGCCUUGAAGUGGAGAAGUUUGGAGUUGGAAAAGAAGUAGAGAGACUCCAACGGUGCGUUUCUAUGGGAACCUGAUCUUUAUGAUGUCACAAAUCAUUAAUUUAUAAAUACAAGCAUAAUCUAUUCAUAAUAGAAGAAAGAAACACUGUAAAAACAGAUGAAGAAAGAAACCAACGAUGAGUUCAUAAAAAGUUGUGAUUAUAUUUUUUAGUUUCAUCAAUCUUGUAACAUGUGAAAGAAAAGCCUUCACGGAGAAGCAGAGAGAAGGACGAGUAAACGUCCUGGCAAAGAGUAAAUAUAAGGUUUUCCAUUGUUAGUUUAUUAUAAUUGAGUUUGGUAUGAUUAGAUAAUAAUUAUAAAGUAACUGUAAACCCAAUAGGUGCAUUUGUAAAGUCGUGAAUUGUUUGUAAAGUCGUGACUUGUUGGAAGAGUCAUAAGUAGUUUUCUUUACGGUUACUUAAGAAAUAUAUGUAAGUCAUGUUGUCUUAUGUAAAAAGUGUCAACAAUAAAAGAUAAAUUUUCCAAAUGUAUUUUGUUCUCUUUAUUUUGUCCAACAUUCUUUACUGCCGCACCAGUCUCUCCCGUUUAACAGACACGUAGUUGAUAUUGAAGGUUCCUUGAUAAAUGAGGUUGGUGAAAGGUUGCAAUGGAUUAUACCUAAAGCUCAUUAGUUUGCUGUGUUCACAUUAUUACAAGGCAAGGCAAUGUCAAAGAUUAAUCCCUAAUUGCUUGCUCGAUUAGAUACCCUGAAACUCCAGACCAAAGAGGAGAAGAAGUGAGUGAAUUGUUUAUACGCUGCGGUGUCUUGUUAUAUGAUCCGAAAAGCAACUUACUACAAACUAACUUCUCCAAAACUCUGGAAGGGAUCCUCCCUCUGCAACAUCAUGUGUGAAAGUAUAUGACUGAAGGAGAAUGACCAGUCCAAUAACUUACCAACUCUCCCAAUAACAUCAAAUUCAAAAAACCAGUUCUAUAUAUUGUCAUCAAGUUCAGUAUAUGACUGAAGGAGAUGUAACACGGUGCUGGAGACAAGCCUUGCCGUUAGAGAUCCAUCGCCUCUCUCUUUUGGUCGCUGUGCAUCGGAUCCGAGAGGCUUUGAUGUAGAGAAGAGACGCACGUACGCGGAGCCAUCACGUAGAGCACUUCCGGUGCCGAUCACCAAGUCAUCAUCUCAUCGGAGGAGGGUCCGAGAUCCUUUCCGUGCCGCCGGAGCCUUUAUCAACUCUCGACGUAGCCGUGAUCAUAACCGAGCGAUGCGGAGGAGGCACGAUCUAAAUUGGAGUUGCGGCGUUUAACACCAACCACCACCAUCGUUAACCGUGAGACAUAGGAGGGGAAAGCCAUGUCACCGGAGAGUCGUUUCAUGAUCACCGAGUUUGAGCCAGCCACCAUCAUCAACCGUAGUCCAAGCCGCGCAGCAGCUAAGUGUUAUCUUCUUGUUACUUGUGUUACAAGCAACAUAUUUAGCUUAAGCUAAAUGUUUCAUGCGUAGGAAACAUGCAACUUUGGAUGUUAUUAUUCUAAAACCUAAGCGAGACAUUUUCCC
Long non-coding RNA from Brassica napus (rape), 1725 nucleotides. RefSeq lists it as uncharacterized. The record is from RefSeq and is a predicted model, not a curated record. The transcript has 3 exons. Lineage: Eukaryota; Viridiplantae; Streptophyta; Magnoliopsida; Brassicales; Brassicaceae.